Portunus trituberculatus (swimming crab) is the source of this 3191-nucleotide long non-coding RNA. RefSeq lists it as uncharacterized. The transcript has 3 exons. The record is from RefSeq and is a predicted model, not a curated record. NCBI's taxonomy places the organism in Eukaryota, Metazoa, Arthropoda, Malacostraca, Decapoda, Portunidae.
GUGACGAGGCUUGACGGGCGCCACUUGACAGUCUGCCGUCAGAGGAGACAGACGCGCCAUCUCCCUGCAGCAUCAUCUCCAUCCGCGCUGUUUGGACCUUGUCGUCACCUCCUUGGUAGUCAGGGCGGCAGCUGGGCUGAAGGAGCACAACCGAGGCCGGGACUCAAACCCUCACCAGCGAGAUACUUGCCAGCGUGAGCCGACUUUCCUGCCAGCUCCAGGCAUUGUUGACGACGAAAACUCCGCUCCGUUCCGCCGACCUCAGAUUAAAUAGCCGAGCCCUGACAACCCCCUGUUUAGUCUAGCACUGUAAGCCGCCACAGACUGAGGGACCGCCGUAGGGUAGUUCCAUAAAUCCCCGUGAAUCGUGACGUUGGUGAGACAUAGAAAGCUACACACACCGUCCGCUGCCCGCCCGCCGCCGACACCCACACCGGAAGAGCCAUCCUGUGCUGUCUAGUUUUAUGACAGCCUGAAGCACUUGCAAGGUAAGCGUGUCCACCUGUCUGCCUGUCUCUACCUGUCCAGCGGUAAGUUCCUCCAGUGUUCCCAGGUGUUAUUUGUGUCUUACCUGUUCUUUUUUUUAUGAAGAGAAGAGAGCUAGCCAAGGGAAAAAAAGAUUAAAAAAAAGGCCCACUUGAGUGUUGGCUCUCUACAAAGGAAAAACCGUCAGCCAAAAUUAGGGAGGAAAUGCCUCGAUACCUCCCUCUUAAAAGAACCUCUAACUGUGGGACGCUUGUAAAGUUGAUUGGAGAAGGAAUUAUGUUGCUUGUAAUUGUCACGUGUAGAGAUAAGGGAGGGUGAGGAAAAGACAGGAAAAGUGACACAUUGUAGGUUGUUUGAAAUGAUCUCGUAUGUAAUUAUUGUUUGUUCGCCGUAAUUCAUGAAGCGAUAAUGACGAUGAUGACUGCGAUAGACAAGGAAAGGAAGAAGUUAGUGUUUUUUUGAGGAUACUUAUGCCUUAUGAUAGAGAAAUAUGAUGAAUAAGAAGAGACGGUUUAUAAACACCACGCUUCCCAAUUAGAUGAGGAUAAACAGGAGUAGUGAUGAUAAUUGUGAGAAGAGGAAAAGAAAGAAAAAAAGAGGAUUAUGAAUUGUGAAAAAGGGGGAAAAUUGAAAUAAGAAAAGGAAAACAACACGUGAACAAUACAUUACAAAAAUCAUUAUAAUAUACAGAAAAAAUAUGUAUAGAAUGAAAUAUGCAUGACUGUUGACCAAUCUGAAGUGUGUGUGUGUGUGUGUGUGUGUGUGUGUGUGUGUGUGUGUGUGCCACCGUGCAGUGCGGCAGAGCGAGUAGCGGCCAGCCAGCCAAGCACCAAACCAAACCACACCACACCGCACCACACCACACCUCACCACACCAACUCGCCGGCUAGGGUACAGCGAUGUGUGUGUGUGUGUGUGUGUGUGUGUGUGUGUGUGUGUGUGGUGGCGGCCUUGCGUGCGUGGCGGGCGUCACUCACCAGGCGCCGCUCGUCACCAUGCAUUCCCGAGGCGCCUUGAUUCGUGAGGUUAGUGGUGAUGGACGCCGCCAACCUGCCGCCGCCGCCGCGUGUAGCACAGUGAGAGUGAAAACCGCACGGCCGCCUCCCUCCCUCACCAUCAUUAUCCAGAAAAAUGUGAAAUGUCUCGGAAUUGGUUAAAAAAUAUAUAAGGACAGGAAGAAUGUAAGAUAACUGUGGAUUACUAUGGAGGGAAAUGGCCGACAGUUCGUUUUGCAAAUUUAUAUAAAGGAAAAUGUGACGCAGAAUUGUUAGCUGAGGAAAAUUGUGAACUGGUGUAGGAUUUGUUUGAAGAAAAUUAUUAGGAGAGAAAGAAAAAGAGAGAGGAAAAAAAAAGAUGCAAUAGGUAAGAAUUGGCUGAAAAAUGACUAUGGAUUGUGGUGAUGUAAAAUAGCUGAGAACUGCUGUGAAAAUUGAUACAAAGACGAGUGUGAAAUAACCAACAGUUCGCUCAGGAAUUAUUACAAGAAAAAAUAUGAGUUUCGAUCCCAAAAAAAUAUAACGAGGAAAAAAAAGUAGGAAGUUGUUGAGAAUUGGAUUGGCUUACUAGAAUUAUUACUUGUGAAAUGAAGCAGAGUGGCUGAAGUCUCGCUCUGGGAAUAUUGAACAGGAAAAUACUAGCUAAGGUUUUCGUUCAGGGUUUGCUUCGAGGAUGAUAAAUGUGAAAUAGCGGUGUGUUCGUUCAGAAAAAAAAAAGCGUACGAAGAAAUAAUAGACGAGGUUUUGUUCUAAUGACGCGUGUGAACAGUAUAAUUUUUUGUUUUAUUAUGAUUAUUAGUUCUAUUCUUAUCAUUCAUUGCUUUGAUUCUUAUUCGUUCAUACUAAUUUCACUCAUAUCAAUUGGUUUAUAUCGUGACUUUAUGCUUCAAAUCUGUUCUUUAUUGUCAUUUUUGUAGGUUCACGUGAAGAAAAAUAGUAUCGAUAUGAUUUCCUUACUUUCUGCCUUUAUCCUUCCUUGCAACAAACUUACACUUGACCAGCACUCACACCACACACCACACUAACCCAUUAACCUCACUCUAACCCCACUCUAACCUCAUACUAACCUCAAACACACCUAACGCCUCACAACCUACCCAACACUUCACUCUAACCCAUCACACACACACACACACACACACACACACACACACACACACACACACACACACACACAAAACACCAAACAACUUGCCUUACACCAUCAAACACAUCACACCUUGCCCAUCACCUCACACCUAAUAUACCUGCCCGGUACCUCACCUUAACCACCCACACACACCUUUCAUCCCUUCUCCACCUGUAUUAAUUAAGAAAUAAGAGGUAUAAGACUCCACCUGACACCGCACCAUUUAUGUCCAACGCAGAUAAAAAGUUGCUGCGUCCCUCUUUUAUCCAAGGGCCAGUCUUUAAGGGCGGACAGGAGCCCUUAGCUGGCAGGCGCCUCUUAAAACCGAGAUUGACUAAGCCACUUUAUCUGUAGGACGCCGUGGUAGGGAGUGAAGGAUAUGAGGGAAGGUAGAGGGUAGGAGAGAGUAAGGGGGGUUGUAGGAUGUGUGUGAGUGGUGUGUGUGUGUGUGUGUGUGUGUGUGUGUGUGUGUGUGUGUGUGUCUGCUACUGAGUCAAGAAAGGCACCCACUUAGACGCUCGUAAUUUCAUAUCUUAAGCACGUAAGUCUGAGAGAGAGAGAGAGAGAGAGAGAGAGAGAGA